This 815-nucleotide long non-coding RNA is filed under the name Phascolarctos cinereus (koala). Its description in RNAcentral is "lncRNA (ENSPCIG00000015649.2)". Lineage: Eukaryota; Metazoa; Chordata; Mammalia; Diprotodontia; Phascolarctidae. The record is from RNAcentral.
CUGGAAUUUCAUCUGAUUCUUGCCCACAGUGAAAAUAAAUCUGAAUUUCUACUUUUAAAAGAAAAGACAUUAAUUAAGAUUACAUUUCACUAUGGGAAAUAGGAAAGAAUGACUUUAAAGGCCCAGAAAAAAGCCAGCCCCAGGAAGCCAAGAAAAGACAGAGGAAAGGUUCAGUGAGUGUAACUGGCGCUAUAGGAAAUGUUAACAACUGGGUGGUCAUCAUCUCCAAAGGCUCUAAUGCACUGGUUUGGAAAAAACAACAACUGGACACCAAUGAUUGAGGAAAACAAAUUGCAUCAACUACCAAAAUGAAGCAUCCUGAGCCAGGCUGAUCAUCUAAAGUCACACACACUGAUUGGGGGAUGAACCGUGAAGGAAAACCACAGGGUACAGAUGCAUGGAGAGUGAGCUGCAGUGAGUUGUAAGGAUGCAUUCACUCACCAUAGCCUUUCCAGGGCUGUAGGUUAUUUAUUAUUCUUGCUUCCAGAGGCUUUUGCAAAAGAAACGCUUGCUUAAUAAUAAGUUUUAAAUAAUUCUAUUGUACCGUCAGUGCUUUUUAAUGGUCAGUACUAUGUGUACACCAUUGUUGAUUCUGCGGUGACACGUUGCCUAUCUGAAAGAAUAUGUCUGUAAGAUAGGGAACUGGGCCACAGUCAUUCUAGAACAAGUGGGAAUUUUUCAAGCCUACAUACCCCCCUCUUUUUUUUUUUUGAAGAUAUUCUUUAACAAGAGAGGAUGGAACAUGGUACUAGAGAGGUUGAUGGCAGAGAUCGUUUUCUAAAAUAGUGAGAAUAACUAGAGCCAGGGACUUGGAU